AUCGGUAGCUGGUCUGAGAGGACGACCAGCCACACUGGGACUGAGACACGGCCCAGACUCCUACGGGAGGCAGCAGUGGGGAAUAUUGGACAAUGGGCGCAAGCCUGAUCCAGCAAUGCCGCGUGGGUGAAGAAGGUCUUCGGAUCGUAAAGCCCUUUCGGCGGGGACGAUGAUGACGGUACCCGCAGAAGAAGCCCCGGCUAACUUCGUGCCAGCAGCCGCGGUAAUACGAAGGGGGCUAGCGUUACUCGGAAUUACUGGGCGUAAAGGGCGCGUAGGCGGCGCACCAAGUUAGGCGUGAAAGCCCUGGGCUCAACCUGGGGACUGCGCUUAAGACUGGUGUGCUUGAGGAUGGAAGAGGCUCGUGGAAUUCCCAGUGUAGAGGUGAAAUUCGUAGAUAUUGGGAAGAACACCGGUGGCGAAGGCGGCGAGCUGGUCCAUUACUGACGCUGAGGCGCGAUAGCGUGGGGAGCAAA
This 476-nucleotide ribosomal RNA is filed under the name Acetobacteraceae bacterium. RNAcentral's name for it is "bacterial SSU rRNA". It matches the Rfam family "Bacterial small subunit ribosomal RNA", at positions 279 to 772 of the family's 1533-position model. The record is from RNAcentral. Lineage: Bacteria; Pseudomonadati; Pseudomonadota; Alphaproteobacteria; Acetobacterales; Acetobacteraceae.